RNAcentral lists this ribosomal RNA (468 nucleotides) under uncultured bacterium. RNAcentral's name for it is "partial 16S ribosomal RNA". It matches the Rfam family "Bacterial small subunit ribosomal RNA", at positions 28 to 507 of the family's 1533-position model. The record is from RNAcentral.
GACGAACGCUGGCGGCGUGCUUAACACAUGCAAGUCGAACGGAAAGGCCCUGCUUUUGUGGGGUGCUCGAGUGGCGAACGGGUGAGUAACACGUGAGUAACCUGCCCUUGACUUUGGGAUAACUUCAGGAAACUGGGGCUAAUACCGGAUAGGAGCUCCUGCUGCAUGGUGGGGGUGGGAAAGUUUCGGCGGGUGGGGAUGGACUCGCGGCUUAUCAGCUUGUUGGUGGGGUAGUGGCUUACCAAGGCUGUGACGGGUAGCCGGCCUGAGAGGGUGACCGGCCACAUUGGGACUGCGAUACGGCCCAGACUCCUACGGGAGGCAGCAGUGGGGAAUAUUGCACAAUGGGCGGAAGCCUGAUGCAGCAACGCCGCGUGCGGGAUGACGGCCUUCGGGUUGUAAACCGCUUUCGCCUGUGACGAAGCGUGAGUGACGGUAAUGGGUAAAGAAGCACCGGCUAACUACGUG